Mugil cephalus (flathead mullet) is the source of this 1486-nucleotide long non-coding RNA. RefSeq lists it as uncharacterized. NCBI's taxonomy places the organism in Eukaryota, Metazoa, Chordata, Actinopteri, Mugiliformes, Mugilidae. The transcript is spliced from 2 exons. The record is from RefSeq and is a predicted model, not a curated record.
GUCUCGGAGAUGUCCUGACCGAAUGUGUAGCCAGCUCCUCGAGGGGAGAUGCCCCAGCCUCCGCGGUCGUCGGGGUCCGACCACAGCAGGUCGCACAUGGGACCCUGAAGGGGACGACAAGGCAGGAACAAACCACUUCCUGCCACCCAUGAAGCACCAUUCCCACAACAGCCCUCCGUGCGCUCCACGUUAAGACGGCAAGCUGUGAUUACAACACAACCCCCGACACCAUCACCAUAAUAAUAUCUCCACGGAUACAACAGCACGUAUGUGUGCGGGCCUCUGUGUGCGUCUCCCUAGCAGCGCUUUGAAGGGCAUCUCCGUGCACCGUUUCCUAAAAUCAAUUACUGCGAUGAGCCAGAAGAAUUGUGUGCGCAAGAAGCGUCUUGCUCCACUACGUCACCCGUUGCCAUUGGUUUCGCUAAAUGUGGCUUCGUUCAACGUAAGCAAGACAAAGUCACAGACAGAAGAUUUAAACACACAAAAUAUGCAGAAAGUCAGCCGAAGUGUAAGCUUAGCAGACUUCUGUUUACAUUUGAGGGUUUAAAAAAAGGUUUGUGGGCGGUCGUGUUGGGUGCUCUCAAUUAUUAUGCAACCCUUUACCGGGAGUUAGCUAAAAAUAGUGUGGAGCUUUAAACAGAACACGUUCUAAAUCUGGAGACCCCUCAACAAGACCUAUUCCUGAAGUCGGUGUAGCUUGGCAGGCUGGUCAGACUGAGGGCUCGGUCAGAUGACUGAGACGUUCUAAGGAGAUUUGAGACAACAAAUCCUCAGGCUGAAGAUGCCAGAGAGCAACAUCUGCAAAAAGGCAAAUGAUACACUACCAGUUAAAAGCUCCAGUAUCCUCUGGUAUAGUUGAUUCAUCCUACAGCAAGAUAAUGACCUAAAACUUUAGUCCAAGCUAUACCAGAACUACCUCAGAUAAAAAUAAGAUGGAAAGCUUGAAACAUGGAGUGGACCGUGUCCCAGUCUCUAGAUUUAACCCCAUGGAGCCAUGGAAACUUCUGCAACAAAACUGGGAAGAACAUUCUGAAAAAGCUGGCCUUUCAUCAACAGAUGGGCCAGAGAGAAAGACAAGAGACGACCCCAGAGGAACCAGGACAGGGCAGGACUGCAACGCUGCACAACGCUGACCUACAUUAAACACCGGCCACGUGUCCACACCACCAUGUGUCUGGACGCCUUUCACUCGGUGGACGACAGAUUGACCAGGGCAAUUUAGCGGCUAAGCCGUGGAGAAUAUGCUAGGUGCAUGCAUUAAAGUGGAACAGCAGCAGCAGCGUGUACAUUAGGGGAAUGCACAAAGCUGAGCGGGUAAAAUAAGCCACUUGGUUUUAAGUAGACCAGGUCAGCCUGUCUGGGACCCUGUUUACUAUUCUCUGUCUCUGGACUCAGCCUUUUAAUUUAAACAUCUCAUGCAGCUUAAAAGCAAACUAAAUUAUUAUUAUCUUUUUAGUCUGGUUAUUUAUUAAUCCUCAAAAAGAAA